RNAcentral lists this ribosomal RNA (1010 nucleotides) under Raffaelea arxii. RNAcentral's name for it is "SSU rRNA". It matches the Rfam family "Eukaryotic small subunit ribosomal RNA", at positions 81 to 1096 of the family's 1831-position model. Lineage: Eukaryota; Fungi; Ascomycota; Sordariomycetes; Ophiostomatales; Ophiostomataceae. The record is from RNAcentral.
GCGAAACUGCGAAUGGCUCAUUAAAUCAGUUAUCGUCUAUUUGAUAGUACCUUACUACUCGGAUAACCGUGGUAAUUCUAGAGCUAAUACGUGCUGAAAAACCCCGACUUCGGAAGGGGUGUAUUUUAUUAGAUUAAAAAGCCAAUGCCCCCCCCGGGGCCCCUUGGUGAUUCAUGAUAACUCCUCGAAUCGCACGGCCUUGCGCCGGCGAUGGUUCAUUCAAAUUUCUGCCCUAUCAACUUUCGACGGCUGGGUCUUGGCCAGCCGUGGUGACAACGGGUAACGGAGGGUUAGGGCUCGACCCCGGAGAAGGAGCCUGAGAAACGGCUACUACAUCCAAGGAAGGCAGCAGGCGCGCAAAUUACCCAAUCCCGACGCGGGGAGGUAGUGACAAUAAAUACUGAUACAGGGCUCUUUCGGGUCUUGUAAUUGGAAUGAGUACAAUUUAAUUCCCUUAACGAGGAACAAUUGGAGGGCAAGUCUGGUGCCAGCAGCCGCGGUAAUUCCAGCUCCAAUAGCGUAUAUUAAAGUUGUUGCAGUUAAAAAGCUCGUAGUUGAACCUUGGGCCUGGCUGGCCGGUCCGCCUCACCGCGUGCACUGGUCCGGCCGGGCCUUUCCCUCUGGGGAACCGCAUGCCCUUCGCUGGGCGUGCCGGGGAACCAGGACGUUUACUUUGAAAAAAUUAGAGUGUUCAAAGCAGGCUUAUGCUCGGAUACAUUAGCAUGGAAUAAUGGAAUAGGACGUGCGGUUCUAUUUUGUUGGUUUCUAGGACCGCCGUAAUGAUUAAUAGGGACAGUCGGGGGCAUCCGUAUUCAGUUGUCAGAGGUGAAAUUCUUGGAUCUACUGAAGACGAACUACUGCGAAAGCAUUUGCCAAGGAUGUUUUCAUUAAUCAGGAACGAAAGUUAGGGGAUCGAAGACGAUCAGAUACCGUCGUAGUCUUAACCAUAAACUAUGCCGACUAGGGAUCGGACGGUGUUGCUUUUUGACCCGUUCGGCACCUUGCACGAA